AAGAGAAUUAGUAACGCAUGCGAGAGGUCGUGGUGACAGUCAUGGAGAAGUUUUUAAAAAGGACAAAUGCAAACUCCGAACAAGCAGAGUGAUGAUGUCAUCAACACGAGACGCUGCUUGCUAAACGCUGCUCCGGAUCACCAACAAACAAGUGAAAGUAGCAGUUCCUCCUUAAGGUCAGAGAUUGCAGCAUCUGAGGGCCUCUUCAAAAGAAGACGUAGUUGAUGAAGGCGUUCUGGAGCAGGACCAGAAAGACCACGACCAAGCAGCCUUGAGAUCUUAGACAGCGUCUCCCUCAGAGUGAAAGUAGCAGUUCCUCCUGAAGGUCAGAAAUUGCAGCAUCUCAGGGCCUCUUCAAAAAAAGACGUAGUUGAUGAAGGCGUUCUGGAGCAGGACCAGAAAGACCACGACCAAGCAGCCUUGAGAUCUUAGACAGCGUCUCCCUCAGGUCCCUCUCUAUCUCCCCACACAUCCACCAACCACUGGAACACAUCUCCAAAGUUCUGCUGGACCAGCUCAGCUUCCCCUCAGAAGAAGUGGUGCCACCUGCCAGAUGAAGGAGCCUUUUGAGAGGCAGCUGGCAUCGUGAUUGGACUGUACUUUGGUCUGUUCCAGUCCAGCUUCAGCUCCAGAGACGGCAGGCGGGACGAGUCAACGGAGGCCGGAUGGACGAAGGCAUGCAGCUGAGUACAAUCCAGAAAACAACAGAGGAGGAGUGUAGCAGCCCAGAGCCAGAACAACCAGAGUAGCAUGACCAAAGAACUACAGACUCUUCAUAACCUGCUCAAACUCUUGGUACAGGACCUCACCACACGGGUCAAGAAGGUUUCUGUCUCAUUUCUACUCUGAAGCUCACCUUCUCCUGCUCAAACUGCUGACAAAUGUUUCUGCUGCUCUAAAGACUGGUCUCCAGAACUUCCUAAAAACUCUCAAAGUCUCUUCUGCUGCAGGUUGCUUUGUAGAACUGUUCCAGAAAACCUCACUAAACCACAUGGAGGGGCCUCAAGAUAGUCGUCCAAAUGAAACCAUACAAAAACCAAACUAGUACAACCCAAACGCUAAAGUCUCCUGCAGCCUACCAGAGAACCUCUGAGAACAGAGAAUCAGGACAGGAACUCUUACCUUCUGGACAACCAACGUUGGUUCUCAAACAAGAAUACAGAAUGUGUCUGACCAAAAACCUCUGAAGACUCACUACAGCCAAGAUAAAGACACAACUCAGCUGCAUCAAAUCCACUAAUCACUGCACACAUUAACACCAUGUGCUAACUGUGGCUAAAGAACCACAUUUACCAAGACAACUAUCCAGUACAAAGCUCUAAAACACACCAAGAAACACAUUAAAGAUGAUUUUACUGCUGGAAGCUGCAAGCCAACGCCUAAAGAACAACCUAAAGCAAUGGAGCCAAACCAGGUUCAGUGGUGAAGAGAAACAGAGGAAAUGUUUGUCUGCAGCUAAAUAAAGCAGGAAGACACUGAGCUGCUCAGGUGUUCCUGAUAACACCAAGCAGCCACCUGGACAGCCAAUAGGAACACAGCCACCUGGACAGCCAAUAGGAACACAGCUUCCUGGAAGUCCAGAGGGCUGGCUUAGUCAAGGAAAUUUAGUUUAACGUUGAAGCAGAAAGUUAACAAAGAAAGUUGAAAACCACCUUCUGAUCCCUGAAAUCUCUGAGUUUUCACACAAAGAACACCUGAACAUGUCAAAGUGGUUCCAUAGUAGAACCAUCAUUGUAAAAACAUCAUAGUAUGGUGUGUUGCUCAAAAAACAUUAGGACCCAGCUGUCUCGGGUCGCAGAGGAGCAACACAAAAACAGGACAAACACUGGUUUCCAGGGGGUUAGGAGGAUAUUUAUUUGAAAGAGGAAGUUUACAACAACACAACAUGUGAGCAGAAAAAUCACAGUCUGUCUUUAGUUCAGCUGAAAAUAUUAGUUUUUGUCUUUUUUAUUGACCAAACUUUUCAGGAAGUAGAUGAAGAAUAAUUAAAGCUCUCAUGUAGAAGUCCAACUUAUUUUGGAUCCUUGUGGAGAGUUUAAUCUUAGAGUUUGUAAAGCUGUUGAGUUUUUAGAGUCACAUGGAUUGUUUUGACAUUUAAUAACCGAGUCCUGAAAUAAAAUUACAGUUGUGGAUUUCUGUCAUUUAGUCUGGACUAAACAAAUAACAGCAGCAUAAAUCUCAAACAUCAUUAUGAGGCGUCUGGAUUGAGGUUUCUCACUUGAUAAUGAUCAAAACAUGAAAUUUAGGUUGGUUUAAAGGAAUAUUCCACCUUAAAUCUUUGAAUGUUGACCUAAAAGGUUGGUUUCAGGAAGUAUUCCACCUACAAGGCCCUCACACAUCGACCUUAAAGGAACAUCAGCUCCUCUCCUGUGGAACCAGCUCCCAGUUUGGGUUCAGGAGGUGGACACCCUCUCUAUUUUUAAGACCAGGUUUAAAACCUUCCUUUUUGACAAAUUUUAUAGUUAGGACUGACUGGGGGACCCUGAGGGGGUCAGCUGGAGUCUUCCUCUUGACGUCCCUUUAGUUCUGCCCCUAGUUCUGCUGCUAUAGGCCUAGGCUGCUGGAGGACCUCUCUGGAUGCACUGAGCCCUUCUCUAGCUACCUAUAUAUUUACUAUAUAUACCAUUAUUGCAUUACACUCACUCUGUUUCUCCCUGUGUCCUUUCUCCGAGUGUCCCUGGUCCCAGAGCUGGAUGCUUCAGAUCUGUGGUUCUUCUCCCACCAACUGGCCUAAUCUCCAUCAUGUCCACUGUGGGAUGCUGCUGCUGACCUUCCUCCAGCCCAUUGCUUCCAGCUGCCCAUUCCUACCAAUCUACUCUGCAUUGCCCUUACUAUAGUUGAUUUGCUCAUCUACAUAUUUUUGAAUUUACCACCAGCUAUAUAUGUGGUAUAUUUAAUGCCAGAGCCGUACACCAUAGUAGCAAACAAUAAUUAGUUUCCAUGUUAGUUGUACUUUGCAUAUAUCAUCUGUCUUAUCAUGCAUUUAUCAAACUGUGUGUUUUAUGGUCCUUGCCCUGCAAAAUACUUUGUAAAAGCGACAGGUCCGUAGCAGCUUUCAUUUUUUCAAAAAACUUUUCGGUGACCCCCCCAAAACCAUCUGUUGUACCCCCCUAAAUAAUGUAAAAGAGGCAGUGAAAAAGAUUAUGGUAAGGUUUUCUUUGAAAAAAAAUCAUGAAUUUUGGCGCAAUAAAAACGCCAUAGUAUACUAUGUCGAAAAGAAUAUGGAAUUUUUCAAACAUGUUGUAAAAACGUGCCAUAUGAUGAAAUAAUGUAAAGGAGGCCGUGAAAAACACUCCAGAAAGGUUUUCUUUGAAAAACAAAAAAUCAUCAUGAAUUUUGGCGUAAAAAAAACGCCUUACUAUACUAUGUCGAAAAAAAAUGCCAUUUUUCAAACAUGUUGUAAAAACGUGCCAUAUGAUGAAAUAAUGUAAAGGAGGGCGUGAAAAACA
Molecule: long non-coding RNA, 3449 nt
Organism: Amphiprion ocellaris (clown anemonefish)
Lineage: Eukaryota; Metazoa; Chordata; Actinopteri; Pomacentridae
Exons: 5
Source: RefSeq, a predicted model, not a curated record